AUUCUUAUUGGAUUGAAUGGGCUGCUGCGUGGUUCCAGGAAAUAGCUCCUGCUUAUAGUCCGUACCCGAAACCGACACUGGUGGUCUGGUAGAGUAUACCAAGGCGCUUGAGAGAACUAUGCUGAAGGAACUCGGCAAAUUGCACGCGUAACUUCGGAAGAAGCGUGACCCCUUAGUACGCAAGUAUUGGGGGGUGGCACAGACCAGGGGGUAGCGACUGUUUAUCAAAAACACAGGGCUCUGCGAAGCCGCAAGGCGACGUAUAGGGUCUGACGCCUGCCCGGUGCUGGAAGGUUAAGAGGAGAGGUGCAAGCUUUGAAUCGAAGCCCC
RNAcentral lists this ribosomal RNA (330 nucleotides) under Salmonella enterica subsp. enterica serovar Senftenberg. Its description in RNAcentral is "partial 23S ribosomal RNA". It matches the Rfam family "Bacterial large subunit ribosomal RNA", at positions 1573 to 1921 of the family's 2925-position model. Lineage: Bacteria; Pseudomonadati; Pseudomonadota; Gammaproteobacteria; Enterobacterales; Enterobacteriaceae. The record is from RNAcentral.